GGGCAUUGGGGGGGGUGCCUUAUACAUGCAAGUAGAACGCUGAAGAGAGGAGCUUGCUCUUCUUGGAUGAGUUGCGAACGGGUGAGUAACGCGUAGGUAACCUGCCUUGUAGCGGGGGAUAACUAUUGGAAACGAUAGCUAAUACCGCAUAACAAUGGAUGACACAUGUCAUUUAUUUGAAAGGGGCAAUUGCUCCACUACAAGAUGGACCUGCGUUGUAUUAGCUAGUAGGUGAGGUAACGGCUCACCUAGGCGACGAUACAUAGCCGACCUGAGAGGGUGAUCGGCCACACUGGGACUGAGACACGGCCCAGACUCCUACGGGAGGCAGCAGUAGGGAAUCUUCGGCAAUGGGGGCAACCCUGACCGAGCAACGCCGCGGUGAGUGAAGAAGGUUUUCGGAUCGUAAAGCUCUGUUGUAAGUCAAGAACGAGUGUGAGAGUGGAAAGUUCACACUGUGACGGUAGCUUACCAGAAAGGGACGGCUAACUACGUGCCCAGCAGCCGCGGUAAUACGUAGGUCCCGAGCGUUGUCCGGAUUUAUUGGGCGUAAAGCGAGCGCAGGCGGUUUGAUAAGUCUGAAGUUAAAGGCUGUGGCUCAACCAUAGUUCGCUUUGGAAACUGUCAAACUUGAGUGCAGAAGGGGAGAGUGGAAUUCCAUGUGUAGCGGUGAAAUGCGUAGAUAUAUGGAGGAACACCGGUGGCGAAAGCGGCUCUCUGGUCUGUAACUGACGCUGAGGCUCGAAAGCGUGGGGAGCGAACAGGAUUAGAUACCCUGGUAGUCCACGCCGUAAACGAUGAGUGCUAGGUGUUGGAUCCUUUCCGGGAUUCAGUGCCGCAGCUAACGCAUUAAGCACUCCGCCUGGGGAGUACGACCGCAAGGUUGAAACUCAAAGGAAUUGACGGGGGCCCGCACAAGCGGUGGAGCAUGUGGUUUAAUUCGAAGCAACGCGAAGAACCUUACCAGGUCUUGACAUCCCGAUGCUAUUUCUAGAGAUAGAAAGUUACUUUCGGUACAUCGGUGACAGGUGGUUGCAUGGUUGUCGUCAGCUCGUGUCGUGAGAUGUUGGGUUAAGUCCCCGCCAACGAGCCGCAACCCCCUAUUGUUAGUUGCCAUCAUUCAGUUGGGCACUCUAGCGAGACUGCCGGUAAUAAACCGGAGGAAGGUGGGGAUGACGUCAAAUCAUCAUGCCCCUUAUGACCUGGGCUACACACGUGCUACAAUGGUUGGUACAACGAGUUGCGAGUCGGUGACGGCAAGCUAAUCUCUUAAAGCCAAUCUCAGUUCGGAUUGUAGGCUGCAACUCGCCUACAUGAAGUCGGAAUCGCUAGUAAUCGCGGAUCAGCACGCCGCGGUGAAUACGUUCCCGGGCCUUGUACACACCGCCCGUCACACCACGAGAGUUUGUAACACCCGAAGUCGGUGAGGUAACCUUUGGAGCCAGCCGCUAAGGUGGAUAUAGUU
RNAcentral lists this ribosomal RNA (1465 nucleotides) under Streptococcus sp. Its description in RNAcentral is "bacterial SSU rRNA". It matches the Rfam family "Bacterial small subunit ribosomal RNA". The record is from RNAcentral. Lineage: Bacteria; Bacillati; Bacillota; Bacilli; Lactobacillales; Streptococcaceae.